Long non-coding RNA from Magnolia sinica, 833 nucleotides. RefSeq lists it as uncharacterized. The record is from RefSeq and is a predicted model, not a curated record. NCBI's taxonomy places the organism in Eukaryota, Viridiplantae, Streptophyta, Magnoliopsida, Magnoliales, Magnoliaceae. The transcript is spliced from 2 exons.
GAAACCUUCCUGGAGCGAACCAUGAUGUUUAUAUUGCAUAAUUUUAUACUACUGGGAUCAACUGAAAAAGAAGAAGUAUAAGCUAGAUCCAAAGCUUCUAUGGGGCUAUGAAGGUUUCGAUGGUAAUUUGUUGGGGUCCACCUGGUCAACAGCCUAGAUCCCGCUUGUAGGUUUAGAAAAGGGGAGCUACCUGUUGCUGGCGCCUGCAUUGAAUUGCAGUCAGUUCUCUUGCCAUUAUAUAAACUCUGGAACAAGAAUUCCAACAGUCCUCAACAACAACCGCUGUUUGUCAGAGUGGGGUAUCCUGAUUUCUUUGGUGAGGCAUUGAAAAAGGUGGGUUCUGUGCCUGAUGGAAGCCUUGGAAUUUCACAAACAUGACAGCUUGGCACAUGCAGCUGCAUGUGAAUGGGUGGGGACAAAUGUGUCCGGAGCUAAUCAAAACACAGAGCUAGCACUUAGAUCAUUUGAUGCACUUUCCAUGAAAUCGGAUGGUCUUCUAUUUCUUGUUUGUUCUUUUUGGCGGGACCCGGAAAACAAGAAGAUCAUAGUGUGUGAUGAGAAAUUGAAAAAGAUAUUUGGAGGGAGAGACCGUAUUGGAUUUCUUUAGAUUUCAUGGCUGCUUAAUCCUCACUUCAUGAAAUGAAAUCCUCUUCUCAAGAAGUCAACUGAAAAUCCAACAAAGAAAGAAAAAGAGAAAAAUUUCCAAGGAGCUGGCUUUUUGUACAUGGGUAAGUUUCUAGUUGAUCUUGAUACUCAUCGAAAAGCAUGCCAAAACGCUAGUCGGGUAACUGCAAUUAGUUGUAGCACUCCUUUCUUGCAUUUGCAGGCAAACA